AUUGAACGCUGGCGGCAUGCUUUACACAUGCAAGUCGAGCGGCAGCGCGGGGGCAACCCUGGCGGCGAGCGGCGAACGGGUGAGUAAUGCAUCGGAACGUGUCCCGUAGUGGGGGAUAACCCGCCGAAAGGCGGGCUAAUACCGCAUAUGCUCUACGGAGGAAAGGGGGGGAUCCGCAAGGACCUCUCGCUAUGGGAGCGGCCGAUGUCCGAUUAGCUAGUUGGUGGGGUAAUGGCUUACCAAGGCGACGAUCGGUAGCUGGUCUGAGAGGAUGAUCAGCCACACUGGGACUGAGACACGGCCCAGACUCCUACGGGAGGCAGCAGUGGGGAAUUUUGGACAAUGGGGGCAACCCUGAUCCAGCCAUGCCGCGUGCGGGAAGAAGGCC
This 388-nucleotide ribosomal RNA is filed under the name uncultured bacterium. RNAcentral's name for it is "bacterial SSU rRNA". It matches the Rfam family "Bacterial small subunit ribosomal RNA", at positions 28 to 416 of the family's 1533-position model. The record is from RNAcentral.